Molecule: ribosomal RNA, 253 nt
Filed under: uncultured bacterium
Lineage: Bacteria
Description: partial 16S ribosomal RNA
Rfam family: Bacterial small subunit ribosomal RNA
Source: RNAcentral
UACGGGGGGAGCAAGCGUUGUUCGGAUUUACUGGGCGUAAAGGGCGCGUAGGCGGUAGCACAAGUCAGUUGUGAAAUCUCCGGGCUUAACUCGGAAAGGUCAACUGAUACUGUGCGACUAGAGUGCAGAAGGGGCAACUGGAAUUCUCGGUGUAGCGGUGAAAUGCGUAGAUAUCAGGAGGAACACCGGUGGCGAAGGCGGGUCUCUGGGCCGAAAUUGACGCUGAGGAGCGAAAGCGUGGGGAGCAAACAGG